This 324-nucleotide ribosomal RNA is filed under the name uncultured fungus. Its description in RNAcentral is "LSU rRNA". It matches the Rfam family "Eukaryotic large subunit ribosomal RNA", at positions 320 to 667 of the family's 3401-position model. Lineage: Eukaryota; Fungi. The record is from RNAcentral.
AUAUUGGCCAGAGACCGAUAGCGCACAAGUAGAGUGAUCGAAAGAUGAAAAGCACUUUGGAGAGAGAGUUAAAAAGCACGUGAAAUUGUUAAAAGGGAAGGGAUUGCAACCAGACUUGCUCGCGGUGUUCCGCCGGUCUUCUGACCGGUCUACUCGCCGCGUUGCAGGCCAGCAUCGUCUGGUGCCGCUGGAUAAGACUUGAGGAAUGUAGCUCCCUCGGGAGUGUUAUAGCCUCUUGUGAUGCAGCGAGCGCCGGGCGAGGUCCGCGCUUCGGCUAGGAUGCUGGCGUAAUGGUCGUAAUCCGCCCGUCUUGAAACACGGACC